Molecule: non-coding RNA, 215 nt
Organism: Cinara cedri
Lineage: Eukaryota; Metazoa; Arthropoda; Insecta; Hemiptera; Aphididae
Source: the annotation of a GenBank genome assembly
AGUUUAUUUUGGGUGCGUGACCUGAAGCCUAUGAAGAGUUCCAUGUGUACGCCUAUGCCUCUAUUUGAAGUUUUAAUUUUCCAAUGACUGAUUGCACUGUAUUUGCUUAAACUGUAAAGUCGUAAAUAUUGUUUUGGGUAUGCACUUAUUCUGAAAUAAAUGAUACGUGCAGUGGGCUUUUCCCCUCAUAGUACCAUAGACAGAAAUUUUUUAUG